Molecule: ribosomal RNA, 236 nt
Filed under: uncultured bacterium
Lineage: Bacteria
Description: partial 16S ribosomal RNA
Rfam family: Bacterial small subunit ribosomal RNA
Source: RNAcentral
AGAGUUUGAUCCUGGCUCAGGACGAACGCUGGCGGCGUGCUUAACACAUGCAAGUCGAACGGGACAUAUUUGGAGCUUGCUUUGGAUAUGUUUAGUGGCGAACGGGUGAGUAACGCGUGAGCAACCUGCCUUACAGAGGGGGAUAACAGAGGGAAACUUCUGCUAAUACCGCAUAACAUAUCGAUGUCGCAUGGCAAUGAUAUCAAAGAUUUAUCGCUGUAAGAUGGGCUCGCGUA